RNAcentral lists this ribosomal RNA (459 nucleotides) under uncultured bacterium. Its description in RNAcentral is "partial 16S ribosomal RNA". It matches the Rfam family "Bacterial small subunit ribosomal RNA", at positions 338 to 795 of the family's 1533-position model. The record is from RNAcentral.
CCUACGGGUGGCAGCAGUGAGGAAUAUUGGUCAAUGGACGCAAGCCUGAACCAGCCAAGUCGCGUGCAGGAAGACGGCCCUAUGAGUUGUAAACUGCUUUUGUAGGGGGGCAAACGCCGAUACGCGUAUCCGUCCGAAAGUAUCCUACGAAAAAGGAUCGGCUAACUCCGUGCCAGCAGCCGCGGUAAUACGGAGGGGGCGAGCGUUAUCCGGAUUUACUGGGUGUAAGGGGGGCGUAGGCGGCAGGGCAAGUCUGCGGUAAAAUUCCGGGGCCCAACCCCUGGGAGCCGUUGGAACUGGCUGGCUGGAGUGCCUGAGAGGCAGGCGGAAUGCGUAGUGUAGCGGUGAAAUGCGUAGAUAUCAGGCAGAACACCGAUGGCGAAGGCAGCAUACUGGACCGCGACUGACGCUGAGGCACGAAAGCGUGGGUAGCGAACAGGAUUAGAUACCCCUGUAGUC